Long non-coding RNA from Drosophila pseudoobscura, 2001 nucleotides. RefSeq lists it as uncharacterized. The record is from RefSeq and is a predicted model, not a curated record. The transcript is spliced from 3 exons. NCBI's taxonomy places the organism in Eukaryota, Metazoa, Arthropoda, Insecta, Diptera, Drosophilidae.
AUCGAACCGCUUCGAGUGACGACUUGAUAACGACUGAGUCUGGCGGUUGGAAAAUAAUUUUCAAACGAGAAUACAGCUACAUACAUAUUAUCUACUGCACCCAUGGGGAUCGCUGGAAACGGGACUGCUUGGGCCAAGGCCUUGGCCUUCCAGGACACACUGCUUGCUAAGCAGUACAGUACAUCCUCUCCCCUUGCCCAAUGAUGCUGUUGCUGCUGUAAGUUUAACAGUGCCUUAACAGUGUUCUCUUAUCAUUCUAACAGUGUCGCUAAGUAAACACUUUCUGUUAUUGUUGUUGGCCCUAACGGGACAAAACAAAUUUCUGCAAAGAUGAGCAGCAGCAGCAGCAUGGAAGAGCAAGCGAGCGAGCGAGCAUUAACCCUUGAAUGGAACACAAACUUCAACACAAAUACAAAUCCCGAGAAGUGGAUGUGAAAAUGUUCUGGAUCUAGACCACUAUGUUUUGCUCCAGGACAGCGGAAGAGAAGGGCGCAGGAGCAGGAGCAGGCAGGCAGCAGCAGGGGAAGUAGCAGUACAGGCGGCAGGCGGCAGAGGAGCAGGACGCAGCAGCAGAAGAAAUAACUUUAUAUAAAUUGUAAAUGGCAAAAAGCAGCAAAACCGAAUGACACAAGGGACACAAAAAAGGGAGUGGAGCAGGGCUUCAGCAGGGCUCCAGCAGAGCUGGGGCUCGAGCUGAAUGCCUCGCCUUAGCUUUUGGGGCUGGGGGCAUGGAUUCAGGAUUUAGAUAUCCAAUCAGAGUAUGCAAGCAUUUGAUAGACAUUUUUGGAGAGAGAGAGAGAGAAAACACACACACACACACACACACACACACACGCAAAUUUAAACAGAUAGGUGGGGAGAGAGAGAAUGCGAAGGUCUACGAAAGUAAUGUAGGAGUGGAAGUCAUGUGUGAAGUGAAGAACGAAGGGCCGAGAGGGCGACUCAAUAGGCUCAGCUUAUAGGAAUAAGGAGAGAGGGGAUCCGAAGGGCCCCAGCUUAUGUGGGAGUGUGUAGAGGUGGACAGUCAAAGGGCUGAGAGUCAUGUGGGCCAGUCGAGGGGGUGAUGUAAAUAUCAAGAAGUACAAAUCGAUUAAAGACAACGCUUCGAAGUGUUAGUGCGUGCGUGUGUGUGUGCAAGAAAAAGUGAGCUGCGAAUUAAAGAUGGUCAGGAAGAGAAUAAGAGAGAAUGGGUGGAGAGGGGGGGACGGGGGAAAAAGCAAACAGAAGAGAGAGCGCUCGCGCAUGAGCGGGGAACGGGGGCUGUUUGCAUAGGUCCUGGUUGUCCCUUUUUUUGCUAAGCGCUUUACAGUUACAGCUUAUGGGCUGCUUAGCCAGCAGGCGGGAGAGUGGAGACUGGGAGAUGGUGGCCCCUCCCGAAGCUAUUACUGCGCUCCUCUUUCUCUCUCUCUUUCUCCUCUCUCUCUUUCACUGUUUGAUUGUUUUUUUGGAGCAAAUAAUUCAGCAAACACAAUUCAGAGCUGAAAGGGAGAGGGUGGGGCGGGAACGAACUAAUCUUGAGAGGCGGGAACGAACCAGGCUGCAGAGACCGAGAGACAGAGAGAGAGAAAGAGAAGAAGAAAACGCUGGGUGGAGAGAAGGACACUGAAAAGGGCGCCACUUUUAACUGUGGUGAGGUAGGAAUGUUUGUGUGUGUGUGUGUUACACACAUGCAUAAGUAACGUACACAUGUAUGCAAGAUAUUUCCCGGGUCAGCCCCCAACAAAAAGAAAAGGUGGGUGGGGGGGAGGUAUUCGGGCGGACUUGUAAAAUUCUGAUGAAGCCAGGCACAACAAGAUAAAUGGCUCAAUGUAACAGUAACGACACAGGGUGUCAUCGUAUCAAGUAACUGUAAUGCAAGUCGCGUUAUAAAACGAAAUAAUAAGUUUACUGCUAUACUUGCAAAGUGGCGCACAAAAGUCUACAUACAAAAUAUGUAUUAUUUUAAAAAAUAAUAUAGCGCGGAAUCUUUGUAUCUUCAAUCCAUGCUUGUUAGGACUUUCA